AUACAGCAAAUUAGACAUAAUUUCACAGUGCAAUUUCCUGAGAAGUGGCUGCCAGUAAUGCAGACUCAGAAUGUGUCCUUUCUAUCCGACAGGAGGCACUCAGCCUGGAGAUGAAGAUUUUUGGCUCCUGGCCCUCUACUCUAGGAUUCUCUUGCAAUUGGUUCCCCAGAGGAAUUGCAGGGAGGAUAACAAAGAAAAGAGAACAUGGAACUAGGCCUCUGCUAGACACUCCCCUUUUCCCUCCCAAAGAGAACGUUGGACGGGGGACCAUCAGAGACAACAGAUGUUACUGCUGUGUUGGUAUUCCAAGAAGGAUGAUCUGCUGACUGGUCUGGAUUUCUGGGCUUUAGUCAAGUAACAGCCUUGCAAAAAGGACACGUUUGACACUCAACUGGAGUCUUGUUCUUCUUUCUCUUUUACGUAAUCACUGCUGCUGAGGUAUCAGUAUCAAGGCACUGAAAGUGUGGCCUUUAGCUCAUCCUCCACACCAGUGGAGAGGCUGUCUCAGAUUAGAAGAAGACAAAAGACAACAGAUGACGUGUUUAAUGAGAUUAUGAACACCUCUGGGACGGCUGACACUGAGCAGAGAGCAGGGAGGAUUUCUCUAUCUGAAAAACUGGACAUGGACAUUGUGAGCAGGAGAGCAGCUCAGAAGCAUGAGCAUGGCAUGGCACACAG
Long non-coding RNA from Trachemys scripta elegans, 678 nucleotides. RefSeq lists it as uncharacterized. NCBI's taxonomy places the organism in Eukaryota, Metazoa, Chordata, Testudines, Emydidae. The record is from RefSeq and is a predicted model, not a curated record. The transcript has 3 exons.